GAAAGGUUGGGAGUUCACAUGCCAUCGAUCGUAUCAGACUUGUCAGCGCAACAGAUAGAAAACUGUGCCACACAGAAAUGGGACACUGAACAGACAGGGCAAGGGAAACACAAUAUAAAUCUAUUUAUUCAGUAGUCAAUGUCUCGUUUCAUUUUGUUAUUAUACAGUACUUUUCUUGAAUUUUUUAUCAUGGAUUUCUUGGACAAUUAAAAUAUUGGAGUGAAGUGACCGUUAUUCCUAUUUCCGACCAUGUCCAGCUUUCACAAUUACACCUUUACUCUGUAUUCUUGUAGUUGUGUUCGAGCAGCAUGGUGGUACGUAGCCUCGUCGGUUACAUCACAGCACUCUAUGCUCUUCUUCCGGCUUUUGUGACUUUCCUGGUUGAUGGUACUUAAAAGCAGUGUCGUUCUAUCCGAACUCAGUAGUAUCUAAGGUCAAACCACUUAUCAUCAGCUCUUCACCUGAUAAGAGACUCUGUUCGCUGACGAGGUGAGGUGAUCUCUAAAUUGCUGUUCGCGAAAGACUUCCAUUACAUCUGCGCUCUCGUGUUUGGAAGCGGGACUCCGCUGGACUCAUUCACCCGCCCUCGCAGGAAUGCAGAUAUCUGAUGCGAUCCCACAGCAGAUUUAACAUCCCGAACGUGGUCUCCAAGCACUUGGGGGGUUCAAGACUAUGCAGUUGUGAUACUCUGCGCAGACCAGGGAACUCGCUCGAGAAGAGUCGGCCAUUAAAACAGACAAGAAUGGCAGCAGUUGGAGAGGUUCAAACAGCGUUUAUGGAAAGAUUGAAAUCUGUGUAUAUAUGCUUUGAGGAAUAGCACGAUUUUUUAAACGGAGAAAAUGAAGAUCUCUUUGCUACAGCUGGGCUAUAAAUCAGGAACCCUGGUGGGUUUUUUCCUUGCCUUUUUUUUUGGAAAGGGGGGGGGGUAUCUCCACACAUUUGAUGCAUAGCUUUAAUGCUAGAGACUUUCUAAAAACUAGAAGCUUCGUUGCUAUUUGCGGAACAGGGAAAGCUGAUAAUAAUAAUAAUACCCUUCGAUUAACAUUUUACACCUUCAAGCGAACUAUUUUUACCGCUUCUAUCUCUGACCUUUUUCUUGUCAUAAGAAAUCAUAAUUUUUAGAAAGUCUAGAAUUAAGGCACUUGAUGAGCACAAAAAUGAGGUAAAUAUUCGUUGGAUAAACACUAUAAAGUAAUGUUGCAAGAUUAAAAUCUUAUAGUAACCAUGGUACUUGCACGCUUUUUGUUCUUUGUUGUUUUUUCCCCUUCUUUUUUUACGCAACUCACUUAACGUGGAUCUUCGUCCAAACUACAGUAAGGCUUAAACCACAGAAAUCUUAAGCUCAACAAAAUCAGCAGUUGGAAAUUUCGGGAGUGGAAAUACAGGGGGCUUUUUAAGAAGGUUGGUUGUGGGGGGAGGGACAAACAAGGGAAGAGAGAGGCGAUAAUAAUGAGGGCGGGGACGUUAGUGCCAAAAAGAAAAAAGAAAAAAAGGAAAAAAUCAGGGCCAUAAAGAUAGGUCUGGGAGAAGGAGGAUGGAAAGAAAGCAUAGGAGUGGGAAGGAAGAUUGACAGGAUAACAUUGACGCCCAUGAUAAUGAACGACCUGGAGAGACGUAAGUGGGAGUGGUGAAAAGUCACAGAAAUGCAGUAUGUGAGAGAAGCAGAUCGUCGUUUUGCAUCUGUCCAGUGCACUAGAGCGCCAGUGCGCUUUUAUACGUCAGUGUGUUAUCAUAAGCUUCGUGUGUGUGCGUGUAUGUGUAUGUGGUUGUGAUACAAGAAUACAUUCGUGUUUAUAAAUAAAUCUGUAAAUACCUCUCUCG
This 1821-nucleotide long non-coding RNA is filed under the name Aplysia californica (California sea hare). Its description in RNAcentral is "uncharacterized LOC118477534". The record is from RNAcentral. Lineage: Eukaryota; Metazoa; Mollusca; Gastropoda; Aplysiida; Aplysiidae.